Molecule: ribosomal RNA, 924 nt
Filed under: Alternaria sp. KALUNITD30
Lineage: Eukaryota; Fungi; Ascomycota; Dothideomycetes; Pleosporales; Pleosporaceae
Description: eukaryotic LSU rRNA
Rfam family: Eukaryotic large subunit ribosomal RNA
Source: RNAcentral
AAGCCCGUGAUGAAAGAAACCAAUCAGCGGUCUUGACCUAGUAACGGCGAGUGAAGCGGCAACAGCUCAAAUUUGAAAUCUGGCUCUUUUAGAGUCCGAGUUGUAAUUUGCAGAGGGCGCUUUGGCUUUGGCAGCGGUCCAAGUUCCUUGGAACAGGACGUCACAGAGGGUGAGAAUCCCGUACGUGGUCGCUGGCUAUUGCCGUGUAAAGCCCCUUCGACGAGUCGAGUUGUUUGGGAAUGCAGCUCUAAAUGGGAGGUACAUUUCUUCUAAAGCUAAAUAUUGGCCAGAGACCGAUAGCGCACAAGUAGAGUGAUCGAAAGAUGAAAAGCACUUUGGAAAGAGAGUCAAACAGCACGUGAAAUUGUUGAAAGGGAAGCGCUUGCAGCCAGACUUGCUUACAGUUGCUCAUCCGGGUUUUUACCCGGUGCACUCUUCUGUAGGCAGGCCAGCAUCAGUUUGGGCGGUAGGAUAAAGGUCUCUGUCACGUACCUCCUUUCGGGGAGGCCUUAUAGGGGAGACGACAUACUACCAGCCUGGACUGAGGUCCGCGCAUCUGCUAGGAUGCUGGCGUAAUGGCUGUAAGCGGCCCGUCUUGAAACACGGACCAAGGAGUCUAACAUCUAUGCGAGUGUUUGGGUGUCAAGCCCGAGCGCGUAAUGAAAGUGAACGGAGGUGGGAACCCGCAAGGGUGCACCAUCGACCGAUCCUGAUGUCUUCGGAAGGAUUUGAGUAAGAGCAUGGCUGUUGGGACCCGAAAGAUGGUGAACUAUGCUUGAAUAGGGUGAAGCCAGAGGAAACUCUGGUGGAGCUCGCAGCGGUUCUGACGUGCAAAUCGAUCGUCAAAUUUGGGCAUAGGGGCGAAAGACUAAUCGAACUAUCUAGUAGCUGGUUCCUGCCGAGUCCCUCCCGGAAAAGAAAAGG